GACGGAGGGCGCGAGCGUUGUUCGGAAUCACUGGGCGUAAAGCGCGCGCAGGCGGGCUCUAGCAAGUCGGAAGUGAAAUCCCGGGGCUCAACUCCGGGACUGCUUCCGAAACUGCGGGCCUGGAGACCGGUAGAGGUGGGUGGAAUUCCCGGUGUAGCGGUGGAAUGCGUAGAGAUCGGGAAGAACACCUGUGGCGAAGGCGGCCCACUGGGCCGGUUCUGACGCUGAGGCGCGAAAGCGUGGGGAGCAAACAGGAUUAGAUACCCCAGUAGUCC
Molecule: ribosomal RNA, 275 nt
Filed under: uncultured bacterium
Lineage: Bacteria
Description: partial 16S ribosomal RNA
Rfam family: Bacterial small subunit ribosomal RNA
Source: RNAcentral